GGGUUGUGAGGUUAAGCGACUAAGCGUACACGGUGGAUGCCCUGGCAGUCAGAGGCGAUGAAGGACGUGCUAAUCUGCGAAAAGCGUCGGUAAGGUGAUAUGAACCGUUAUAGCCGGCGAUGUCCGAAUGGGGAAACCCAGUGCAAUUCGUUGCACUAUCGUUAACUGAAUACAUAGGUUAACGAGGCGAACCGGGGGAACUGAAACAUCUAAGUACCCCGAGGAAAAGAAAUCAACCGAGAUUCCCCCAGUAGCGGCGAGCGAACGGGGAGCAGCCCAGAGUCUGAAUCAGCUUGUGUGUUAGUGGAACGGUCUGGAAAGUCCGACGGUACAGGGUGAUAGUCCCGUACACCAAAAUGCACAGGUUGUGAACUCGAAGAGUAGGGCGGGACACGUGGUAUCCUGUCUGAAUAUGGGGGGACCAUCCUCCAAGGCUAAAUACUCCUGACUGACCGAUAGUGAACCAGUACCGUGAGGGAAAGGCGAAAAGAACCCCGGCGAGGGGAGUGAAAAAGAACCUGAAACCGUGUACGUACAAGCAGUGGGAGCACCUUCGGGUGUGACUGCGUACCUUUUGUAUAAUGGGUCAGCGACUUAUAUUCUGUAGCAAGGUUAACCGUAUAGGGGAGCCGCAGGGAAACCGAGUCUUAACUGGGCGUUAAGUUGCAGGGUAUAGACCCGAAACCCGGUGAUCUAGCCAUGGGCAGGUUGAAGGUUGGGUAACACUAACUGGAGGACCGAACCGACUAAUGUUGAAAAAUUAGCGGAUGACUUGUGGCUGGGGGUGAAAGGCCAAUCAAACCGGGAGAUAGCUGGUUCUCCCCGAAAGCUAUUUAGGUAGCGCCUCGUGAACUCAUCUUCGGGGGUAGAGCACUGUUUCGGCUAGGGGGUCAUCCCGACUUACCAACCCGAUGCAAACUACGAAUACCGAAGAAUGUUAUCACGGGAGACACACGGCGGGUGCUAACGUCCGUCGUGAAGAGGGAAACAACCCAGACCGCCAGCUAAGGUCCCAAAGUCAUGGUUAAGUGGGAAACGAUGUGGGAAGGCACAGACAGCCAGGAUGUUGGCUUAGAAGCAGCCAUCAUUUAAAGAAAGCGUAAUAGCUCACUGGUCGAGUCGGCCUGCGCGGAAGAUGUAACGGGGCUAAACCAUGCACCGAAGCUGCGGCAGCGACACUAUGUGUUGUUGGGUAGGGGAGCGUUCUGUAAGCCUGCGAAGGUGUGCUGUGAGGCAUGCUGGAGGUAUCAGAAGUGCGAAUGCUGACAUAAGUAACGAUAAAGCGGGUGAAAAGCCCGCUCGCCGGAAGACCAAGGGUUCCUGUCCAACGUUAAUCGGGGCAGGGUGAGUCGACCCCUAAGGCGAGGCCGAAAGGCGUAGUCGAUGGGAAACAGGUUAAUAUUCCUGUACUUGGUGUUACUGCGAAGGGGGGACGGAGAAGGCUAUGUUAGCCGGGCGACGGUUGUCCCGGUUUAAGCAUGUAGGCUGGUUAUCCAGGCAAAUCCGGAUAAUCAAGGCUGAGGUGUGAUGACGAGGCACUACGGUGCUGAAGUAACAAAUGCCCUGCUUCCAGGAAAAGCCUCUAAGCAUCAGGUAACAUCAAAUCGUACCCCAAACCGACACAGGUGGUCAGGUAGAGAAUACCAAGGCGCUUGAGAGAACUCGGGUGAAGGAACUAGGCAAAAUGGUGCCGUAACUUCGGGAGAAGGCACGCUGGUGUGUAGGUGAAGUCCCUGCGGAUGGAGCUGAGACCAGUCGAAGAUACCAGCUGGCUGCAACUGUUUAUUAAAAACACAGCACUGUGCAAACACGAAAGUGGACGUAUACGGUGUGACGCCUGCCCGGUGCCGGAAGGUUAAUUGAUGGGGUUAUCCGUAAGGAGAAGCUCUUGAUCGAAGCCCCGGUAAACGGCGGCCGUAACUAUAACGGUCCUAAGGUAGCGAAAUUCCUUGUCGGGUAAGUUCCGACCUGCACGAAUGGCGUAAUGAUGGCCAGGCUGUCUCCACCCGAGACUCAGUGAAAUUGAACUCGCUGUGAAGAUGCAGUGUACCCGCGGCAAGACGGAAAGACCCCGUGAACCUUUACUAUAGCUUGACACUGAACAUUGAGCCUUGAUGUGUAGGAUAGGUGGGAGGCUUUGAAGCGUGGACGCCAGUCUGCGUGGAGCCAACCUUGAAAUACCACCCUUUAAUGUUUGAUGUUCUAACGUUGGCCCCUGACCGGGGUUGCGGACAGUGUCUGGUGGGUAGUUUGACUGGGGCGGUCUCCUCCCAAAGCGUAACGGAGGAGCACGAAGGUUAGCUAAUCCUGGUCGGACAUCAGGAGGUUAGUGCAAUGGCAUAAGCUAGCUUGACUGCGAGCGUGACGGCGCGAGCAGGUGCGAAAGCAGGUCAUAGUGAUCCGGUGGUUCUGAAUGGAAGGGCCAUCGCUCAACGGAUAAAAGGUACUCCGGGGAUAACAGGCUGAUACCGCCCAAGAGUUCAUAUCGACGGCGGUGUUUGGCACCUCGAUGUCGGCUCAUCACAUCCUGGGGCUGAAGUAGGUCCCAAGGGUAUGGCUGUUCGCCAUUUAAAGUGGUACGCGAGCUGGGUUUAGAACGUCGUGAGACAGUUCGGUCCCUAUCUGCCGUGGGCGCUGGAGAAUUGAGGGGGGCUGCUCCUAGUACGAGAGGACCGGAGUGGACGCAUCACUGGUGUUCGGGUUGUCAUGCCAAUGGCACUGCCCGGUAGCUAAAUGCGGAAGAGAUAAGUGCUGAAAGCAUCUAAGCACGAAACUUGCCCCGAGAUGAGUUCUCCCUGAGACUUUAAGUCUCCUGAAGGAACGUUGAAGACGACGACGUUGAUAGGCCGGGUGUGUAAGCGCAGCGAUGCGUUGAGCUAACCGGUACUAAUGAACCGUGAGGCUUAACCUUACAACGCCGAAG
Molecule: ribosomal RNA, 2923 nt
Filed under: Klebsiella pneumoniae
Lineage: Bacteria; Pseudomonadati; Pseudomonadota; Gammaproteobacteria; Enterobacterales; Enterobacteriaceae
Description: bacterial LSU rRNA
Rfam family: Bacterial large subunit ribosomal RNA
Source: RNAcentral